Alnus glutinosa is the source of this 1725-nucleotide long non-coding RNA. RefSeq lists it as uncharacterized. The record is from RefSeq and is a predicted model, not a curated record. Lineage: Eukaryota; Viridiplantae; Streptophyta; Magnoliopsida; Fagales; Betulaceae. The transcript is spliced from 2 exons.
AAUAACACUAUUCGAAACAUAAAAAACUAGUAUUUAUCUUUAUUAUUUUACAUCAAAACACUUUUUCAAAUCACACACACACAAAAAAAAAGAAAAAAAAAAAAAAAAACAGGCUCUCUGAAACACAUUAUUCUGCAAUACAUCCUCUAACCUUUAACAAGUAGUAAAAUAAGGUAGAGACCAAAGUCUCUUCAGUUAGUGGAUUUUUAAGGGUAUAAUUGUCUUUUCAUAUUCUAUAAAAAUAUGAAAGGACAACUAUGCCCCUAAAAAUACACUAACCGGAGAGAAUCCAACGGAGAGGAUCCAAAUGCCCAAAGUACUGGGUACCCAUUGCCAACAGAGUUUGCCAGAACCCAGAAACAACCCGUCAUACCACGCCUAACAAACAAGGGAAGCCAACCAUGUGAAGACGGCAGGAGCAGCAGCCCAUAAGAAAACAACCACUGACGCCAGCAUGGCCCCGGAGCCUAAACGUCGGAAAAUCCUGGCGGCCUUGGGAUUCCUGUCGCGGAAAUACAUGCAACAAUUGAAGCCACAACAAGUCCCCGCGACGCUCACAAGGAAGGCGUGGAAAGUGUAGGGUUGGCCCUUAAAGAUAAUGGUGGGAGCAGGGUUGCCAUCUAUGUCUUCCAUAGGUAACUGCAAGAAGAACACCGCUACAAAGGUAGAGAUGGUGUAUACAAUUUCAUCGUACCAGUCCCGUACAAGUUUAUGGAUUGACGGCCGGACCCUUUCCCUGUUGCUGUCCGCCGCCUGAUCCGGCACGCUGCAAACUUUGCCUUCCAUUGAUGACAUGUGUUAUAUAGCAUCAAUGUCGUAUUUAUAGUACCCAGAUCAGAUCGAGAGUAUGUAUGGCAAGAAAGUGCAUAGGAGGUUUCUUGAAUGGUUCCCUGACGAUUGUAAAGAAAUCGUCAGGGCAGAGGACUCAGAGGAGGUUUCUUUGCACCUUCAACUUUUUGUUUAGCAUUGACUACGGAAGGAACAAAGAAAGACGACGCAAGUUCCUGGAAAUUUCAAGAAGAUUUGACUGAAUGGGCCCAUUCCCAUCUUUUCUUUUUUGAGAAAUGCUACGCUUACCCACCAGGAUUCCACUGCCAUCCCACCCGUCUUACGUGGCAUUAUUAUUAUUUUUCUUUUUUCUUUUUGAGUUUUGAAUCCUAAAAGGCUAAACGCGUUGGGAGGGGUAAUUUUUGUCAUUUUCCCUCCCAACGCGUCUCUCUCUCUCUCUCUUCUCCGGCUGGCCGUUCGUCCUUCACCGGCGCCAUCUCCACCGGCCCGCAUCUCUAUCGCCCGUUCUUCUUCUUCGGCAACGUGUUCGUGUUUCGUGUCUCCGGCGUUAUUCAACUUCCUGCAGGUCCGGAAUCUCUAUGAGAUGAAAUCUAGGGCCCUGUUGUAGUGCCCCUUCCUAUCACCGCCUUGUGGAUCUUCGAUGUAGCAGUGUCAAUGUAGUUAUAAUCUUGCGUGGGAUGGAAUAGGCUUGAAUUGUGAAGGAUCUUUCUCUAGGUGUUUUCAGUGUGUAUAGUACUGAUUUUGAUCUACUUCUAGAUGUAAGUUGUAGUUCACCUUCAUUUCUAGUUAUUCAAAUUGAUAUAAUAGGUUCACCUUCAUUUAUAGUUAUUCAAAUUGAAUGGAAGUUGCUCAAUGUGGACUUUUCUGAUUUUAAGCUUUUUUGUAUAGGUAUGAUUAUCUAAAAUUGUUUAAUGUAUGAAAAGGAUCAUUGUAAUA